This 381-nucleotide ribosomal RNA is filed under the name Triticum aestivum (bread wheat). RNAcentral describes it as "partial small subunit ribosomal RNA". The record is from RNAcentral. Lineage: Eukaryota; Viridiplantae; Streptophyta; Magnoliopsida; Poales; Poaceae.
AUGGCGAUGCAGAUGUCGGCCGCCGGAGGUGUUGAAGUCGAGUUUUUGUCAGAUCCCGUCGACAGAUUUCCACUGCGAGAUCUCGCUGCCGCACAGCCCUUGGUUGCUUACGAGACGUACAAAUCCAUGGAGUGUGAGCCUGCUGAGUCCAGCAUUGGUGAUGUGGGAGACGCUCCGGUCAACAGUAAUUGCAAUGCGAUUGCCUUGUCUGCAGCAGCAUCUGAGCAUUCUACGGGCAAAGACACCCCUGAAGCCCCAGGCUGGAGGAAGAGAAUGCGAGUCGGAAGUUCAUCUAGCGAGCGCCACCCAUGCGCUGAUAGGAUGAGUGCUUUGGAAGCAACACUAAGAAGCUAUGCAGAGAAAAAAAUGACACUGUCGUAG